AAUCUUGUGCCAGCCACCGCGGUCAUACAAGAGACUCAAAUUAACUGUAUGCGGCGUAAAGAGUGGUACCCUGAUAUCACAAUAACUAGGAUUGAAAUGCAGCUAAGCUGUCAUAAGCCUAAGGUGCGCUUAAAAUCCCCUCUAAAAUGAUCCUAGUAUUUCUGAUCAAUUUAACCCCACGAAAGCUAGGGUACAAACUGGGAUUAGAUACCCCACUAUGCCUAGCCCUAAAUCUUGAUGCUUACCGUACCAAAGCAUCCGCCUGAGAACUACGAGCACAAACGCUUAAAACUCUAAGGACUUGGCGGUGCUCCAAACCCACCUAGAGGAGCCUGUUCUAUAAUCGAUAAUCCACGAUUCACCCGACCACCCCUUGCCAGAGCAGCCUACAUACCGCCGUCGCCAGCUCACCUCUCCUGAGAGCCCAACAGUGAGCACAAUAGCCCAACCCGCUAGCAAGACAGGUCUAGGUAUAGCCUAUGGGGUGGAAGAAAUGGGCUACAUUUUCUACGAUAGAAAACCCACGAAAAGGGGUAUGAAAUAACCCCUGGAAGGCGGAUUUAGCAGUAAAGGAGGAUAAUAUAGCCCCCUUUAAGUUGGCCCUGGAGCACGUACAUACCGCCCGUCACCCUCUUCACAAGCCACUAGCUAUCAUAACUAAUAAACUUUCCGGCUGAAGACGAGGUAAGUCGUAACAAGGUAAGUGUACCGGAAGGUGUACUUAGCAUAU
This 730-nucleotide ribosomal RNA is filed under the name Rynchops niger (black skimmer). RNAcentral describes it as "partial 12S ribosomal RNA". It matches the Rfam family "Bacterial small subunit ribosomal RNA", at positions 499 to 1533 of the family's 1533-position model. Lineage: Eukaryota; Metazoa; Chordata; Aves; Charadriiformes; Laridae. The record is from RNAcentral.